Oryza sativa Japonica Group (Japanese rice) is the source of this 208-nucleotide microRNA precursor. It matches the Rfam family "MIR812 microRNA precursor family". The record is from Rfam. Lineage: Eukaryota; Viridiplantae; Streptophyta; Magnoliopsida; Poales; Poaceae.
AAUAAGUGUAGUUUUAUAUUAUUUACGUUUAACGUUUGACCGUUUAUUUUAUUUGAAAAAUUUUUAUGAUUAGUAUUUUUAUUGCUAUUAGAUGAUAAAACAUGAAUAGUACUUUAUGUGUGACUAAUUAUUUUUAAAUUUUUCACAAAUUUUUUAAAUAAGACGGACGGUCAAACGUUGGGCUCAGAUAUCCACGGCUGCACUUAUU